GACGAACGCUGGCGGCGUGCUUAACACAUGCAAGUCGAACGGAAAGGCCCUGCUUUUGUGGGGUGCUCGAGUGGCGAACGGGUGAGUAACACGUGAGUAACAUGCCCUUGACUUUGGGAUAACUUCAGGAAACUGGGGCUAAUACCGGAUAGGAGCUCCUGCUGCAUGGUGGGGGUCGGAAAGUUUCGGCGGUUGGGGAUGGACUCGCGGCUUAUCAGCUGGUUGGUGGGGUAGUGGCUUACCAAGGCUUUGACGGGUAGCCGGCCUGGGAGGGUGACCGGCCUCAUUGGGACUGAGAUACGGCCCAGACUCCUACGGUAGGCAGCAGUGGGGAAUAUUGCACAAUAGGCGGAAGCCUGAUGCAGCAACGCCGCGUGCGGGAUGACGGCCUUCGGGUUGUAAACCGCUUUCGCCUGUGACGAAGCGUGAGUGACGGUAAUGGGUAAAGAAGCACCGGCUAACUACGUG
This 468-nucleotide ribosomal RNA is filed under the name uncultured bacterium. RNAcentral describes it as "partial 16S ribosomal RNA". It matches the Rfam family "Bacterial small subunit ribosomal RNA", at positions 28 to 507 of the family's 1533-position model. The record is from RNAcentral.